Molecule: ribosomal RNA, 464 nt
Filed under: uncultured bacterium
Lineage: Bacteria
Description: bacterial SSU rRNA
Rfam family: Bacterial small subunit ribosomal RNA
Source: RNAcentral
AUGAACGUUGGCGGCGUGGAUUAGGCAUGCGAGUCGAGCGAGAACCGUAGCAAUACGGGGACAGCGGCGAAAGGGAGAGUAAUGCGUGGGUACCUACCCUCGGAUUCAGGAUAGCCAUGGGAAACUAUGGGUAAUACUGAAUAACGUCUUCGGACCAAAGGUGUGAUUCCGUCCGAGGAGGGGCCCGCGUCCUAUUAGCUAGUUGGUGGGGUAACGGCUCACCAAGGCUGAGAUGGGUAUGGGAUGUGAGAGCAUGAUCCCACUCAUUGGGACUGAGACACUGCCCAGACACCUACGGGUGGCUGCAGUCGAGAAUCUUCGGCAAUGGGGGAAACCCUGACCGAGCGACGCCGCGUGUGAGAUGAAGGCCUUCGGGUUGUAAAUCACUGUCAGAGGGGAGGAAAUGUCGGUGGGUUCUCCCACCGAUUUGACCUAUCCUCAGAGGAAGGACGGGCUAAGUUCGU